RNAcentral lists this ribosomal RNA (497 nucleotides) under uncultured bacterium. Its description in RNAcentral is "partial 16S ribosomal RNA". It matches the Rfam family "Bacterial small subunit ribosomal RNA", at positions 28 to 507 of the family's 1533-position model. The record is from RNAcentral.
GAUGAACGCUGGCGGCGUGCCUAAUACAUGCAAGUCGAGCGAACGGACGAUAAGCUUGCUUCUCUGUUGUUAGCGGCGGACGGGUGAGGAACACGUGGAUAACCUACCUAUAAGAGUGGGAUAACCUCGGGAAACCGUAGCUAAUCCCGGAUAAUAUUUUGAACCGCAUGGUUCAAAAGUGAAAGACGGUCUUUCUGUCACUUAUAGAUGGAUCCGCGCUUCAUUAGAUAGUUGGUAAGGUAACGGGUUACCAAGGAAACGAUGCAUAGCCGACGGGAGAGGGUGAUCGGCGACACGGGAAGUGAGACACGGUCCAGACUCCUGCGGGAGGCAGCAGUAGGGAAUGUGCCGCAGUGGGCGAAAGCCUGACGGAGCAACGGCGCGUGAGUGAUGGAGGUCUUCGGAUCGUAAAACUCUGUUAUUAGGGAAGAACAUAUGUGGAAGUAACUGUGCACAUCUUGACGGUACCUAAUCAGAAAGCCACGGCUAACUACGUG